UGAUUGUAUCAGUUAUGCCUGUGGU
This 25-nucleotide unclassified non-coding RNA is filed under the name Mus musculus (house mouse). RNAcentral describes it as "oocyte_clustered_small_RNA13155". Lineage: Eukaryota; Metazoa; Chordata; Mammalia; Rodentia; Muridae. The record is from RNAcentral.